UACGGAGGGUGCGAGCGUUGUUCGGAAUUAUUGGGCGUAAAGCGCGUGUAGGCGGUUUUUUAAGUCUGAUGUGAAAGCCCUGGGCUCAACCCGGGAAGUGCAUUGGAAACUGGGAGACUUGAAUACGGGAGAGGGUAGUGGAAUUCCUGGUGUAGGAGUGAAAUCCGUAGAUAUCAGGAGGAACACCGGUGGCGAAGGCGGCUGCCUGGACCGAUAUUGACGCUGAGACGCGAAAGCGUGGGGAGCAAACAGG
Molecule: ribosomal RNA, 253 nt
Filed under: uncultured Geobacter sp.
Lineage: Bacteria; Pseudomonadati; Thermodesulfobacteriota; Desulfuromonadia; Geobacterales; Geobacteraceae
Description: partial 16S ribosomal RNA
Rfam family: Bacterial small subunit ribosomal RNA
Source: RNAcentral